GUCCCCCUCCUGCCGGGCUCUAGGGAGAGAAAAGGGUUAAAACUCACCUUUAUUCCAGCGCCGGGCGGGGAGCUCUCCUCCUCCUAUACUCCUCCUCUCCUCCCUUUCGGCUGAAUGCGCACGCGCGGCAAGAGCUGCGCGCGCAUUCAGCCGGUCUCAUAGGAAAGCAUUUACAAUGCUUUCCUAUGGACGCUUGCAUAUUCUCACUGUGAUUUUCACAGUGAGAAUCACGCAAGCGCCUCUAGCAGCUGUCAAUGAGACAGCCACUAGAGGAUUUGGAUGCUGGAUUAACCCUAACAUAAACAUAGCAGUUUCUCUGAAACUGCUAUGUUUAUUAAAAAAAGGGUUAAUCCUAGAGGGACCUGGCACCCAGACCUCCUCAUUAAGCUGAAGUGGUCUGGGUGCCUAGAGUGGUCCUUUAA
Non-coding RNA from Pelobates cultripes (western spadefoot toad), 422 nucleotides. Lineage: Eukaryota; Metazoa; Chordata; Amphibia; Anura; Pelobatidae. The record is from the annotation of a GenBank genome assembly.